Long non-coding RNA from Micropterus dolomieu (smallmouth bass), 550 nucleotides. RefSeq lists it as uncharacterized. The record is from RefSeq and is a predicted model, not a curated record. Lineage: Eukaryota; Metazoa; Chordata; Actinopteri; Centrarchiformes; Centrarchidae. The transcript is spliced from 4 exons.
UAUUGGUUUGCCUCAAACUCUGUGUGUCAUCAAUAUUUCCCAGACCAGAUGCAAAACACUGCAGACCUGCUGCAUUGCUUCAAAAUCUUGGUGCUGGCUGUGGAUCACAGACUUGAGUCAAAAUGAUCAUCAGGACAUCAGUAUCAGUAUCAUCCUGCCAACUCCAGCCAGGAGGGUCUGCAGGACAUCGUGUAGCCACGCUGGAAUCACUGAAAGCUGGCUUGCCCUGAGCUCUCAUCCUGCUCCAGGAGGAAUAGGUGGAAUCUGAUUACAGACCUAUUUUACAGCAGACGCCGGGGCGCAAUAAAGGGAGAGAGAGCACGGAAACGGGACUCGGCCCAUCAAUUAGAUCUCUAUUAGCAGCCAAUGCAGACCUCACCUCAGGAAACGCCGGGGCCCUGAAAUUAAACAAUUCUUCAAGCCCGACAAGCCAGUCAACUCUGCUAUAUGUUUGAGAGAGGAUUAGAGUGGGGGUGGUGUCCUUACCGAAGCAAACUAUUCUACAAUUCUUGUUAUAAAAUCAUUAAAAAUAAUCAUUAUGGACCAUAUG